CACAGAUUCUCCUUCACCACCAAACCUCACCCCACCUCACCUCACCGCACCGCAGACCACCGUCACUCACCGUACGUCGCACACCGCUGCCGCCGUAAAUCACCACCGCUACCACCGCAGAUCACAGGUAGUGAAAUGGGCCAUUCCCAAAGAAAAAGCCAAAUCAGCAUGCAAUCAAUGAACACUUGCAAUGUCCCUUCAAAUUAAAGGACCACUCACCAGCUCCCUGUUUUUUUGGGGUGUUUUAUGUUUUUGAGUAAGCAAUGGCAAUGGUGAAAGUUUGGAAGACUAGGAACUUAGCCAAGCUAUAUUCAAAUCAUCAAUUACAAAUUUUUGCUUAGCUCUUUUUUUCUUCUUACUUACUCUUUUGUGCAAAUUUACCCAGGCGGACUAUUAUUAUUGAUGGCUUGUGGCAGCGGCUAACCCACCAAGCUGGUAUGGCAUUGGUUUAUUUCGGUAAGAGCAGAGUUGGAAUAAUAAUUUGUUUUGACAGUACUUUAUUAUUGAUGGCUUGUGGCAGCAGCUAACCCACCAAGUGAAUUUUUUCAUUUAAUUUAAUGUUGAUUUAAUCACUUUUGCAUAUUAGUUAUGAAUAAUACUUUGUACCACACUUGUUAUUUGAAAUUAACGGGGUAGAAGAGAAAGAGCUGGAUUUCUC
This is a non-coding RNA of Camellia sinensis, 658 nucleotides long. NCBI's taxonomy places the organism in Eukaryota, Viridiplantae, Streptophyta, Magnoliopsida, Ericales, Theaceae. The record is from RefSeq and is a predicted model, not a curated record.